GGGGCACCGCCCGCCCGACCGCCCGCCUGGCCCGCGGCGGAAGAGGCAGCGGCGGAGGCGGCGGCAGCGGCGGCCUCGGCCG
This 82-nucleotide microRNA precursor is filed under the name Mus musculus (house mouse). Its description in RNAcentral is "predicted gene, 55893 (ENSMUSG00002075796.1)". The record is from RNAcentral. Lineage: Eukaryota; Metazoa; Chordata; Mammalia; Rodentia; Muridae. RNAcentral also lists the same sequence under 1 other name.